ACAUCAAUAAAAAUGGUGAAGUGGACAUCAUAGGCUUUAUUCAGCUCCAAGUCAAAAUGUGAAACAGCAACUCACAUUGCUGACAGAGGGAUCUAUGAAAGAGCAACACCAAAAGCAUCACAAUGUGACAAAUGUGAAGAUAAAACUAUACUACACUAAAUGAUAAUUCUAAAUUAAAUAUAGCCAAUUUAAAAGGUAUAAUUAGUUCAUUUAAAAAGUGACAAGUGGGCAGCCAAUUUAUAUAGCUAGUGUAACUGUAGGGAGUUGUAUGAAGUUGUAUGUUAAAGUAAUUCAACGGGGAGAGCUGUGCAGGAUGGCCAGCAGGAGACAGACCCGUCACAAAGCAUUAAUCAGAGAAAGCUAAUGGCUUCUCUCUUUCUACUAUUUUAAUGGAACAUCUUCCCUGAAAGUCUUAGUGGGCUUAUUACUUCUUUUUUCCUUUAGGAACUUAUGAGUCCCAUUUAAACAUUAAUUCAUGGAUUAAUCUUCUACAUUCCAGUUCAUGAUGACAGGAAUACAAUCAGAAGUGAACUUCGUAAAAAAAAAAAAAAACAGAUACAAUACAAGAGCUGAAAUUACCCCAAAAUUUUACUGAGGCCACACUUGUAUUUGAAUAUGUAUAAGUAUACAAAUAAAUGAAUCAUCAGACCAAGAUGAAUCAAAUUAGAUUUUGAUCCCUUUUACUGUUUUUUUCAGCAAGUUGAAAAGAGGAGAGGCAAAGCAAAUGGAGACAGUCAGAAACACAUAAGCCACUAAUACUUCUAAACACCUAACGAAGAGGACAAACACAUAGUUUUCAUAUUUCAUGACCAACCCAUAAAUAAAUAUUUUAAAUAUUAGCAAAAUACCACUAAACAUAGAAACAUUGAGACUAAUCACUGGAUUCCACUUAAGCUGCUAACAAUGAAACUGACAAGAAAGCUGAAUGGAGACCCACCACAUCUUAUCUCAUCUAGUUUACUUUAUCAUAGAUAUAUGUAUACUUUAAAUGUGGCAACACUCAUAAUUAAAACUCAAAUAAUUGGGGGGAAUUGGCCAAAGCCGUCAAUUUAAAAAUAUCCUAAAAUCUCAUCAGUUACUAUUUUCGUAAAGACGUAGUCUUCCUCUGCAUAGACGCAUUUUUAGACUGAAAACAAACAUCACUAAAUCCAGGGGCAUGACUGUCAUCCCUCCUGAUUCUUUACCCAACCUCAUCCCCUUACUUUGGGUGACCAGUUUACACAGUCAUUUUCACAGGUUUCACUGGAGUUGCAGCCAAUUAAACUUGCAGUAUCAUGUCUUUGUCCAACGCAUAGUCUAUUAUACGUUUUCCUGUAGCCUAAUUCAUCUGUAAACUAAACUACUGGAUCAGAUUUUUUUUUUUGUGAAGCCAGCACAUUUAAGUGUUUAACUUUGGUAGUUUGUUGUCUUUGGUAGAUGUAACUGACUAACCACUAUAUACUUUAUUGCAAUAAUGAAAAACUACCGCCGUGCCACAUGAAACGUACAAACGCCGUUUCUUGUCUUGCCGGAUGGAAAAUGAUGCGCAGCCACGGAAUCAGUGUUCAGCAGGUAACCGCAAACAGAAACGCUGAGGAGAGUUCGGUUUGUUGUUGGUCUUUGUUUGUUUUUAUCGUCACAAACCCACUGGUUUAUUGUGACACAGUGAGAUCUACAGUCAGGCUUCAGAAUCUGAGAUUUUUUCCUCGAACACUUGUUAUCGCAGAUUAGUAAACGUUCCUUACUGCGGGUUCCAUGAAUUUAAGGCUGUAGACAGCGACCAGGAUUGCAAAUCUCCAAGAAGUAAGGAAGUCCUGCUGCUCCUGGUGCCUCCUCUUUCUCCAGCGACGUUCUCUUCUCCUCGGUGACGGGGAGAGAUCCUUCAAUGUUCCCUGUGACACUACAUGCUCCUCCUUCACUCUUCAAGCCUGCCACCACACCUUUACCUCUGCCUUAACUUGUCAGUCUGUCUCACACACACCGACACCUGCCAAGAAUGUACCGUUGGAACAGUGUAUGAAAACUGUUGACAGAGAUAAUUUGACAUGUUCAUAGAAAGACUCCUGACGUCAUGUGGGUGGCGAUGGAAGUGGUUGACACUUAAAACUACACAGCCGCGCUAUGUGAUCCACACUGUCUUGGACACCUGGUGGCGCUGUUACACCUGAUAGACACUGCUCAUGUAAAGAAUGACAACAAUUUGAUGUCAGUUUGAGGAACCGGCACCACGGAAGGUUAAUAAAGUUGAAAGUAGAGAUGAAUGGAUCUGUUGAUCCGUUGAGAAAAGAGCACACAACUUGUUUUACAUAGAGGCUCUCUGGGUUGUAGAUUAUGUAGUGAACUAGCUAUAUCUGGUUGACUUGUGAAAAUCAGGAAAAUUGAUUUAGCAAUGAAUCUUUCAUAAUUCGUGUUUAGAUGAUUGCACAAACACUGUUACUCAUCUACUCUGCAUAAAGAGUUUUGUUACAAUCCUUUGAAAUCCAUAAAAGGGAUGAAAGUUUGGUUAUUAUAGAAUGAUUUUCAAAGAUAAAACCUGUUGCCAAACACCAAGUGCAUUUAUUUUUGUGUUUCUUAUGCAGGAUGUGUGUUCUUUUUGUCUGCUCUUCUGGAUGGUUUCUCUGCUUGUCCAAUGUCACUGCUAUCUCCAUAUGCUUUAUAUAAAGUUUAUUAAAAAAAAGGUGAAGGCAUUCCCAACAGCCUUUCAAAUUGGGCUGGUCGCAUGUCUUUGUACAGCUCUAAACUAUACUUUACUUAGAAAUGAAACACUUUUAUUCAUGUAUUUUCUAUACCAGCGUAAUCCUUGCAGGGGUUUAUCCGCAUGCAAUCAGUUGUACUCCCUGGACAGUUUCCCAGUCCAAAUAAAUACAUAUUUCACUGA
Molecule: long non-coding RNA, 2857 nt
Organism: Girardinichthys multiradiatus
Lineage: Eukaryota; Metazoa; Chordata; Actinopteri; Cyprinodontiformes; Goodeidae
Exons: 2
Source: RefSeq, a predicted model, not a curated record